Molecule: microRNA precursor, 120 nt
Filed under: Loxodonta africana (African savanna elephant)
Lineage: Eukaryota; Metazoa; Chordata; Mammalia; Proboscidea; Elephantidae
Description: miRNA (ENSLAFG00000032913.1)
Rfam family: mir-1302 microRNA precursor family (bases 36-87)
Source: RNAcentral
CAGUUAAAUUUGAAUUUCAGACAAACAAUAAACAAUUUUUAGUAUAAGUAUGUUCCAUGCAAUACUUGGCACAUACUUAUACUAAAAAAAAAAUUCCUUAUCUGAAAUUCAAAUCCAACU